RNAcentral lists this transfer RNA (72 nucleotides) under Corynebacterium pseudotuberculosis. Its description in RNAcentral is "tRNA-Gln". Lineage: Bacteria; Bacillati; Actinomycetota; Actinomycetes; Mycobacteriales; Corynebacteriaceae. The record is from RNAcentral.
CAGCAGCGAGAAAUCGCUUCUGAAAAAGUUCUAUGCCCCGUUCGUCUAGCGGCUUAGGACGCCGGCCUCUCA